Molecule: ribosomal RNA, 497 nt
Filed under: uncultured bacterium
Lineage: Bacteria
Description: bacterial SSU rRNA
Rfam family: Bacterial small subunit ribosomal RNA
Source: RNAcentral
GAUGAACGCUAGCUACAGGCUUAACACAUGCAAGUCGCGGGGUAACAUCUGGGAGAGCUUGCUCUUCCAGGAUGACGACCGGCGCACGGGUGAGUAACGCGUAUCCAACCUGGCCUCUACUCCGGAACAGCCCGUCGAAAGACGGAUUAAUGCCGGAUGGUGUCACAUGCCCGCAUGAGUGUGUGACUAAAGGCAACGGUAGAGGAUGGGGAUGCGACUGAUUAGCUUGUUGGCGGGGUAACGGCCCACCAAGGCUACGAUCAGUAGGGGUUCUGAGAGGAAGGUCCCCCACAUUGGAACUGAGACACGGUCCAAACUCCUACGGGAGGCAGCAGUGAGGAAUAUUGGUCAAUGGGCGAGAGCCUGAACCAGCCAAGUAGCGUGCGGGACGACGGCCCUAUGGGGUUGUAAACCGCUUUUGAUUGGGAACAAAGAGCGCCACGUGUGGUGCGUUGCGUGUACCUUUCGAAUAAGCAUCGGCUAAUUCCGUGCCAGCA